Molecule: ribosomal RNA, 783 nt
Filed under: uncultured bacterium
Lineage: Bacteria
Description: bacterial SSU rRNA
Rfam family: Bacterial small subunit ribosomal RNA
Source: RNAcentral
UGCGCUGGCGGACGGUCUAACACAUGCAAGUCGAGCGCGAAAGGCCUUCGGGCUGAGUAGAGCGGCGGACGGGUGAGUAACGCGUAGGAAUCUACCUGGUAGUGGGGGACAACUUGGGGAAACUCAAGCUAAUACCGCAUACGCCCUAAGGGGGAAAGCGGGGGACCUUCGGGCCUCGUGCUAUCGGAUGAGCCUGCGUAGGAUUAGCUAGUUGGUGAGGUAAAGGCUCACCAAGGCGACGAUCCUUAGCUGGUCUGAGAGGAUGAUCAGCCACACUGGGACUGAGACACGGCCCAUACUCCUACGGGAGGCAGCAGUGGGGAAUAUUGGACAAUGGGCGCAAGCCUGAUCCAGCCAUGCCGCGUGUGUGAAGAAGGCCUUCGGGUUGUAAAGCACUUUAAGUGGGGAGAAAGGCCCGUUGGCUAAUAACCAGCGGGAUUGAUGUUACCCACAGAAUAAGCACCGGCUAACUCCGUGCCAGCAGCCGCGGUAAUACGGAGGGUGCGAGCGUUAAUCGGAAUUACUGGGCGUAAAGCGCGCGUAGGCGGUUUGUUAAGUCAGCUGUGAAAGCCCCGGGCUCAACCUGGGAACUGCAGUUGAUACUGUCCGACUAGAGUACGAGAGAGGGAGGUAGAAUUCCAUGUGUAGCGGUGAAAUGCGUAGAUAUAUGGAGGAAUACCAGUGGCGAAGGCGGCCUCCUGGCUCGAUACUGACGCUGAGGUGCGAAAGCGUGGGGAUCAAACAGGAUUAGAUACCCUGGUAGUCCACGCCGUAAACGAUGUC